Myiozetetes cayanensis is the source of this 343-nucleotide long non-coding RNA. RefSeq lists it as uncharacterized. The transcript has 3 exons. Lineage: Eukaryota; Metazoa; Chordata; Aves; Passeriformes; Tyrannidae. The record is from RefSeq and is a predicted model, not a curated record.
UGAUUGAUUCAAAAGAACCCCAUAAAAUGGUCGUUAUUCUGUAUAUAGGGACUGUUCUGUAUGCACACAUCUGCAGAUGGGGAGAUCAUCAGGGUGUAGCAGAAGAACUAAAGGGGGGCCUUCAGGUUGGCCCAUUUCUACCGGUGAACCACAGAAGUCCUACAAGCCUUUCUGUGAUACUAAACAUCUGCUAGGAAAUGAAUUGCGUAGAAGGUUCAGAAAAAGAAAUGGAUGAUCCCAGCUGGAAAGACUAAAUUGAGCCAGAUCAUCGUGCCAUGAUGAGAUCAUCCAGUGUGCCGCCGUUUUGCUCGUAGAGAACGUGAACUGAAGGAGGAUCAGAAAC